This is a non-coding RNA of Pristionchus pacificus, 61 nucleotides long. NCBI's taxonomy places the organism in Eukaryota, Metazoa, Nematoda, Chromadorea, Rhabditida, Neodiplogasteridae. The record is from Rfam.
UCUUCAUUUCACUUGCUCUCUCACCGGUCAGAGAGGCGAGAGAGUGUGUGAAAUGAAGAGA